Transfer RNA from Camelus ferus (Wild Bactrian camel), 72 nucleotides. It matches the Rfam family "tRNA". Rfam says of the family: Transfer RNA (tRNA) molecules are approximately 80 nucleotides in length. Their secondary structure includes four short double-helical elements and three loops (D, anti-codon, and T loops). The record is from Rfam. Lineage: Eukaryota; Metazoa; Chordata; Mammalia; Artiodactyla; Camelidae.
GAGGGUAUAGCUCAGUGGUAGAGUGUGUGCUUAGCAUGCAUGAGGUCCUGGGUUCAAUCCCCAGUACCUCCA